RNAcentral lists this ribosomal RNA (253 nucleotides) under uncultured bacterium. RNAcentral describes it as "partial 16S ribosomal RNA". It matches the Rfam family "Bacterial small subunit ribosomal RNA", at positions 524 to 776 of the family's 1533-position model. The record is from RNAcentral.
UACGGGGGGGGCAAGCGUUGUUCGGAAUUACUGGGCGUAAAGGGCUCGUAGGUGGCCAACUAAGUCAGACGUGAAAUCCCUCGGCUUAACCGGGGAACUGCGUCUGAUACUGGAUGGCUUGAGAUUGGGAGAGGGAUGCGGAAUUCCAGGUGUAGCGGUGAAAUGCGUAGAUAUCUGGAGGAACACCGGUGGCGAAGGCGGCAUCCUGGACCAACACUGACAUUGAGGAGCGAAAGCCAGGGGAGCAAACGGG